GUGGGGAAUUUUGGACAAUGGGGGCAACCCUGAUCCAGCCAUGCCGCGUGAGUGAAGAAGGCCUUCGGGUUGUAAAGCUCUUUCGGUGGGGAAGAAAUCGCGCUCGUUAAUAGCGGGCGUGGAUGACGGUACCCGCACAAGAAGCACCGGCUAACUACGUGCCAGCAGCCGCGGUAAUACGUAGGGUGCGAGCGUUAAUCGGAAUUACUGGGCGUAAAGCGUGCGCAGGUGGUUUUUUAAGACAGGCGUGAAAUCCCCGGGCUCAACCUGGGAAGGUCGCUUGUGACUGGAAGGCUGGAGUACGGCAGAGGGGGGUAGAAUUCCACGUGUAGCAGUGAAAUGCGUAGAGAUGUGGAGGAAUACCGAUGGCGAAGGCAGCCCCCUGGGCCGAUACUGACGCUCAUGCACGAAAGCGUGGGGAGCAAACAGGAUUAGAAACCCCGGUAGUCC
Molecule: ribosomal RNA, 450 nt
Filed under: uncultured bacterium
Lineage: Bacteria
Description: bacterial SSU rRNA
Rfam family: Bacterial small subunit ribosomal RNA
Source: RNAcentral